RNAcentral lists this ribosomal RNA (779 nucleotides) under uncultured Neocallimastigales. Its description in RNAcentral is "partial large subunit ribosomal RNA". It matches the Rfam family "Eukaryotic large subunit ribosomal RNA", at positions 23 to 620 of the family's 3401-position model. The record is from RNAcentral. Lineage: Eukaryota; Fungi; Neocallimastigomycota; Neocallimastigomycetes; Neocallimastigales.
AGAGAGAGACAUGCGCGCAUAUCAAUAAGCGGAGGAAAAGAAACUAACAAGGAUUCCCUCAGUAACGGCGAGUGAAGCGGGAAGAGCUCAAAUUUGAAAUCUUCAAGGUUCUACCUUGACGAAUUGUAGUUUAAAGAAGUGUUUUCUGCUGAAGUUUUGGUAAAAGUUCUUUGGAAUAGGACAUCAUAGAGGGUGAGAAUCCCGUAUUUGACCAUUAUUUUCAGCUUUGUGAUACACUUUCAAAGAGUCGGAUUGUUUGGGGGGGAAUGCAGUCCAAAAUGGGUGGUAAAUUUCAUCUAAAGCUAAAUAUUGGCGAGAGACCGAUAGCGAACAAGUACCGUGAGGGAAAGAUGAAAAGAACUUUGAAAAGAGAGUUAAACAGUACGUGAAAUUGUCAAAAGGGAAGCGUUUGACACCAGUGUUGUUUUCUCGAAAAUCAAUUAAAAAUGGCUCGAUUUUGUAUUGCUUGAGACCUUAAAAGCUCACUGUACAUUUUUCGUGUCUUUUUUAAUGCACUUUUCGUUUAACAAGUCAACAUCAGUUUCUUUUGUUGUAAAAGGGUCAUUGGAAGGUGACUUUCUUUUCGGAGAAAGUGUUUAUAGCCUUUGGCCUCUGCAAUCGAAGAGACUGAGGUCUGCAGCGUAGACUCUUCGGGGUUAGAUACAUUUGUGCUAAGCUAUAGCCUUUUAUAGACAACUUGUUGACUAUAAUUAGUCUUGUAGCUUACUCGCUUAUGCUAUUUUACCUACGCUUAGGAUGUUGAAGAUGUAGCACAUCAU